Molecule: ribosomal RNA, 586 nt
Filed under: Aureobasidium pullulans
Lineage: Eukaryota; Fungi; Ascomycota; Dothideomycetes; Dothideales; Saccotheciaceae
Description: eukaryotic LSU rRNA
Rfam family: 5.8S ribosomal RNA (bases 213-366)
Source: RNAcentral
CUUCCGUAGGUGAACCUGCGGAAGGAUCAUUAAAGAGUAAGGGUGCUCAGCGCCCGACCUCCAACCCUUUGUUGUUAAAACUACCUUGUUGCUUUGGCGGGACCGCUCGGUCUCGAGCCGCUGGGGAUUCGUCCCAGGCGAGCGCCCGCCAGAGUUAAACCAAACUCUUGUUAUUAAACCGGUCGUCUGAGUUAAAAUUUUGAAUAAAUCAAAACUUUCAACAACGGAUCUCUUGGUUCUCGCAUCGAUGAAGAACGCAGCGAAAUGCGAUAAGUAAUGUGAAUUGCAGAAUUCAGUGAAUCAUCGAAUCUUUGAACGCACAUUGCGCCCCUUGGUAUUCCGAGGGGCAUGCCUGUUCGAGCGUCAUUACACCACUCAAGCUAUGCUUGGUAUUGGGUGCCGUCCUUAGUUGGGCGCGCCUUAAAGACCUCGGCGAGGCCUCACCGGCUUUAGGCGUAGUAGAAUUUAUUCGAACGUCUGUCAAAGGAGAGGACUUCUGCCGACUGAAACCUUUUAUUUUUCUAGGUUGACCUCGGAUCAGGUAGGGAUACCCGCUGAACUUAAGCAUAUCAAUAAGCGGAGGAAA